Molecule: ribosomal RNA, 220 nt
Filed under: uncultured bacterium
Lineage: Bacteria
Description: partial 16S ribosomal RNA
Rfam family: Bacterial small subunit ribosomal RNA
Source: RNAcentral
GCAAGUCGAGCGCGCCCUUCGGGGUGAGCGGCGGACGGGUGAGUAACGCGUGGGAACAUACCCUUUUCUAUGGAAUAGCCUCGGGAAACUGAGAGUAAUACCUUAUACGCCCUUUGGGGGAAAGAUUUAUCGGAGAAGGAUUAGCCCGCGUUAGAUUAGGUAGUUGGUGGGGUAAUGGCCUACCAAGCCUACGGUCUAUAGCUGGUUUGAGAGGAUGAUC